GUAAUCUUUGAUUAGCAUUCCUCCCGCUUUGUUCUCGAAUCUUUCGUUCUUGGAUCGAUCUCUCUCUCUUUUCUCGGUUUUGACUUGAGAGUUGAGACUAAAAGUUUGAGAUGCCCUUGUAGCUCACUGACCAUGGAAUUCCACGGGCGCUGAUGCAAAGCGCCAGGGGCGUAAUUCGCGAGUUUUUCAGGCUGCCACAAGAGGAGAAGGAGUCGUACACGGCAUCAUCCACAAAGCUGCGGAGAGAAGGAUAUGGACGGUAUUUCUUACCUUCCAAAGACACCGUGC
RNAcentral lists this long non-coding RNA (288 nucleotides) under Selaginella moellendorffii. Its description in RNAcentral is "long non-coding RNA (SMOE_LNC000915)". The record is from RNAcentral. Lineage: Eukaryota; Viridiplantae; Streptophyta; Lycopodiopsida; Selaginellales; Selaginellaceae.